UCCUGGUGGCUCAGAAGGAAAAGAAUCUGCCUUCAAUGCAGGAGACCUGGGUUCAAUCCCCAGGUCAGGAA
This 71-nucleotide transfer RNA is filed under the name Bos taurus (domestic cattle). It matches the Rfam family "tRNA". From Rfam's summary of the family: Transfer RNA (tRNA) molecules are approximately 80 nucleotides in length. Their secondary structure includes four short double-helical elements and three loops (D, anti-codon, and T loops). Further hydrogen bonds mediate the characteristic L-shaped molecular structure. tRNAs have two regions of fundamental functional importance: the anti-codon, which is responsible for specific mRNA codon recognition, and the 3' end, to which the tRNAs corresponding amino acid is attached (by aminoacyl-tRNA synthetases). tRNAs cope with the degeneracy of the genetic code in two manners: having more than one tRNA (with a specific anti-codon) for a particular amino acid; and 'wobble' base-pairing, i.e. permitting non-standard base-pairing at the 3rd anti-codon position. Lineage: Eukaryota; Metazoa; Chordata; Mammalia; Artiodactyla; Bovidae. The record is from Rfam by way of RNAcentral. RNAcentral also lists the same sequence under 5 other names.